GACGAACGCUGGCGGCGCGCUUAACACAUGCAAGUCGAGCGGUAAGGCCCUUUCGGGGGUACACGAGCGGCGAACGGGUGAGUAACACGUGGGUGACCUGCCCUCAGCUCUGGGAUAAGCCUGGGAAACUGGGUCUAAUACCGGAUAUGACUCCAUGACGCAUGUUGUGGGGUGGAAAGCCUUGUGCGGCUGAGGAUGGGCCCGCGGCCUAUCAGCUUGUUGGUGGGGUGAGGCCUACCAAGGCGACGACGGGUAGCCGGCCUGAGAGGGCGACCGGCCACACUGGGACUGAGACACGGCCCAGACUCCUACGGGAGGCAGCAGUGGGGAAUCUUGCGCAAUGGGCGAAAGCCUGACGCAGCGACGCCGCGUGAGGGAUGACGGCC
This 386-nucleotide ribosomal RNA is filed under the name uncultured bacterium. RNAcentral describes it as "bacterial SSU rRNA". It matches the Rfam family "Bacterial small subunit ribosomal RNA", at positions 28 to 416 of the family's 1533-position model. The record is from RNAcentral.